Molecule: ribosomal RNA, 403 nt
Filed under: Verrucomicrobiota bacterium
Lineage: Bacteria; Pseudomonadati; Verrucomicrobiota
Description: Verrucomicrobia bacterium partial 16S ribosomal RNA
Rfam family: Bacterial small subunit ribosomal RNA
Source: RNAcentral
UGGGGAAUAUUGCACAAUGGGGGAAACCCUGAUGCAGCGACGCCGCGUGAGUGAAGAAGGUUUUCGAAUCGUAAAGCUCUGUCCUAUGAGAAGAUAAUGACGGUAUCAUAGGAGGAAGCCCCGGCUAAAUACGUGCCAGCAGCCGCGGUAAUACGUAUGGGGCGCGCGUUGUCCGGAAUUAUUGGGCGUAAAGGGUACGUAGGCGGUCUAUUAAGUCAGGUGUGAAUGCGUGAGGCUUAACCUCAUUAAGCACUUGAAACUGAUAGACUUGAGUGAAGGAGAGGAAAGUGGAAUUCCUAGUGUAGCGGUGAAAUGCGUAGAUAUUAGGAGGAAUACCGGUGGCGAAGGCGACUUUCUGGACUUUUACUGACGCUCAGGUACGAAAGCGUGGGGAGCAAACAGG